CGACCAGAAAGAUUCUACAGGGGGAAUACCUGGCUCAUCCAAUCGUUUGACAUCAUCUAGAAAGUCGUAUGGAAAGAAUCCCUUGCACUGGUCUACUUUCAUUGUCCUCAAAAAACCAGCGUAGCUGGUACCAGGUGCUCCACCCCCUCACUCGGACGUGGGCGAGCGCACAUACUGAGCAUGAUUUUGGCUAACAAUCACAAUAAUUGAGCUCCUCGCGAGUGCUCAUUACAUCACCUCUGAUGGAUGUUGCGACACGGCUGACCCCCUAUAUAUAUGGAACACCCUUUGAUUGUGGAUAUUUUAGCUGAAUGUAAGCACCAUCUGAUUUCAUUUGUUAAUAAAAUAAUCAGUGUCAUAA
Long non-coding RNA from Haliotis rubra (blacklip abalone), 361 nucleotides. RefSeq lists it as uncharacterized. The transcript has 3 exons. NCBI's taxonomy places the organism in Eukaryota, Metazoa, Mollusca, Gastropoda, Lepetellida, Haliotidae. The record is from RefSeq and is a predicted model, not a curated record.